Molecule: long non-coding RNA, 1404 nt
Organism: Oncorhynchus keta (chum salmon)
Lineage: Eukaryota; Metazoa; Chordata; Actinopteri; Salmoniformes; Salmonidae
Exons: 3
Source: RefSeq, a predicted model, not a curated record
CACACACACCUACACACAUAUAUAUACACACACACCUACACACACAGACACACACACCUACACACACAGACACACAUAUAUAAACACACACACACAUAUAUAUAUAUAUAUAUAUAUACAUACAGACAGACAGACAGACAGACAGACAGACAGACACACAGACACACACUGCCAAGUCACAAGUUCCUGUGUGUGUAUGUAGCAGGAUGUGCAUUCUGUAGCGUGUGUUGUCAUUGGAAGGCCUGUUUCCUCAUUUCCCCAUAUCCUCUACUCCUACCCCUCGUGCCCAUGUCAGAGGAUAAGAAAACCCCUUCACAUUCAGCCGUGUGCACCAGAUGUCCUUCUCCACAUCCACUUGUGUUUUAAUAAGGAGGAGGUUCCUGAGAACAAGCUUUAGGAAGCUCUGUGUGUGUUCGUCUACAGCACCCACAUCUACAGCAUCUGUUUCUCAGACUCACUAGAUGUCUAGGUUCCUGUUCGUCUACAGCACCCACAUCUACAGCAUCUGUUUCUCAGACUCACUAGAUGUCUAGGUUCCUGUUCGUCUACAACACCCACAUCUACAGCAUCUGUUUCUCAGACUCACUAGAUGUCUAGGUUCCUGUUCGUCUACAGCACCCACAUCUACAGCAUCUGUUUCUCAGACUCACUAGAUGUCUAGGUUCCUGUUCGUCUACAGCACCCACAUCUACAGCAUCUGUUUCUCAGGUUCACUAGAUGUCUAGGUUCCUGUUCGUCUACAGCACCCACAUCUACAGCAUCUGUUUCUCAGACUCACUAGAUGUCUAGGUUCCUGUUCGUCUACAGCACCCACAUCUACAGCAUCUGUUUCUCAGGUUCACUAGAUGUCUAGGUUCCUGUUCGUCUACAGCACCCACAUCUACAGCAUCUGUUUCUCAGACUCACUAGAUGUCUAGGUUCCUGUUCGUCUACAGCACCCACAUCUACAGCAUCUGUUUCUCAGACUCACUAGAUGUCUAGGUUCCUGUUCGUCUACAGCACCCACAUCUACAGCAUCUGUUUCUCAGACUCACUAGAUGUCUAGGUUCCUGUUCGUCUACAGCACCCACAUCUACAGCAUCUGUUUCUCAGGUUCACUAGAUGUCUAGGUUCCUGUUCGUCUACAGCACCCACAUCUACAGCAUCUGUUUCUCAGACUCACUAGAUGUCUAGGUUCCUGUUCGUCUACAACACCCACAUCUACAGCAUCUGUUUCUCAGACUCACUAGAUGUCUAGGUUCCUGUUCGUCUACAACACCCACAUCUACAGCAUCUGUUUCUCAGGUUCACUAGAUGUCUAGGUUCCUGUUCGUCUACAGCACCCACAUCUACAGCAUCUGUUUCUCAGACUCACUAGAUGUCUAGGUUCCUGUUCGUCUACAGCACCCACAUCUACAGCAUCUG